This 22-nucleotide unclassified non-coding RNA is filed under the name Chlamydomonas reinhardtii. RNAcentral describes it as "small RNA Cre_0189". Lineage: Eukaryota; Viridiplantae; Chlorophyta; Chlorophyceae; Chlamydomonadales; Chlamydomonadaceae. The record is from RNAcentral.
ACAAGGACAAGCGGACCUCGCC